UAGAGGUUCGAUCAUGGCUCAGAUUGAACGCUGGCGGGAUGCUUUACACAUGCAAGUCGAACGGCAGCAUCGGUUUCGGUCUGGUGGCGAGUGGCGAACGGGUGAGUAAUGUAUCGGAACGCCUAGUAGCGGGGGAUAACUACGCGAAAGCGUAGCUAUCGUAUACGCUCUUUUCAAAAAGCGGGGACCUUCGGGCCUCUGCACUAUUAGAGCGGCCGAUAUCGAUUUAGCGAAGUGGUGGGGUAACGGCUCACCAAGGCGACGAUCCGUAGCUGGUUUGAGAGGACGUGACCAGCCACACUGGGACUGAGACACGGCCCAGACUCCACGGGAGGCAGCAGUGGGGAAUUUUGGACAAUGGGGGAAACCUGAUCCAGGCCAUCCCGCGUGUGCGAUGAAGGCCUUCGGGUUGUAAAGCACUUUUGGCAGGAAGAAACGGCACGGGAUAAUACCCCGUAACUGAUUUAAAAAUUUCCGCAGAAUAAGCACCGCUAACUACGUGCCAGCAGCCGCGGUAAUAUGUAGUGCAAGCGUUAAUCGGAAUUACUGGGCGUAAAGCGUGGUGCAGGCGGUUCAAAAGAAAGAUGUGAAAUCCCAGAGCUUAACUUCUUUGGAAACCGUAUUUUUAACUACCGAGCUAGAGGUCAGAGGGAGGGGAAUUCCGCGUGUAGUAAAGAAAUGCGUAGAUAUGCGGAGGAACACCGAUGGCGAAGGCAGCCUUCCUGGGAUAACGCCGACGCUCAGCGUACGAAAGCGUGGGGAGCAAAACAGAUUAGAUACCCUGGUAGCCUCACGCCCUAAACGAUGUCAAUCUAGCUGUUGGGGCCUUUCGGCCUCGCAGUAGCGCAGCUAACGGUGAAGUUGACCGCCUGGGGAGUACGGUCGCAAGAUUAAAACCAAAGAAUGAUUGGGACCCGUACAAGUGGUGGAUGAUGUGGAUUAAUUCGAUGCAACGCGAAAAACCUUACCUACCCUUGACAUGUCUGGAAUCCCGAAGAUUUGGGAGGCUCUCGCAAGAGAACCGGAAAUAUGGUGCUGCAUGGCUGUCGUCAGCUCGUGUCGAGAUGCUGGGUUAAGUCCUGCAACGAGCGCAACCCUUUGUCAUUAUUGCUACGAAAGGGCACUCUAAUGAGACUGCUGUGACAAACCGAGGAAGGUGGGGAUGACGUCAAGUCCUCAUGGCCCUUGCGGGUAGGGCUUCACACGUCAUGUUAAUGGCCGGGACAGAGUGGGUCGCCAACCGCGAGGGGGUUUUCAACUCUGGCAGAAACCCGAUCGUAGUCCGGAUCGCACCGGUAAACUCGACUGCGUGAAGUCGGAAUCGCUAGUAAUCGCGGAUCAGCAUGUCGCGGUGAAUACGUUCCCGGGUCUUGUACACACCGCCCGCUUCACCAUGGGAGGGGUUUUACCAGAAGAGUUACUUCCAAUCCGUAAGGAGGGCGAUACCACGGGUAGGAUUCAUGAUCAGCAGCUGUAACAAGGCAG
This 1485-nucleotide ribosomal RNA is filed under the name uncultured Bordetella sp. RNAcentral describes it as "partial 16S-23S ribosomal RNA intergenic spacer". It matches the Rfam family "Bacterial small subunit ribosomal RNA". The record is from RNAcentral. Lineage: Bacteria; Pseudomonadati; Pseudomonadota; Betaproteobacteria; Burkholderiales; Alcaligenaceae.